GAGCCCAACGUCACAGCGGGGCCCGGCGUCACAGCGGAGUCCGGCAGAGCUGGGCAUCACAAUGGGACCAGGCGUCACUGUGGUAUGUGGCCGGGGUGGUCAGAACAUCACAGUGGAGUCACAGUGAGUGGCUCGUUGCAGAAGGACAGAGUGCUGGAGAUACUCAACGGGUCAGGCUGCAUCUCUGGAGAACACAAAUGCACGGAGACUGUGGAUGCCAUGUCAGGUCUGCUGUCGUGCAGUUCUGAUAAUGAUCAGCCUAAGUGCUGGGGAUUCAAAUUCCUGCUCCAUUGCCCAACUCUGUGGGGAGUUCAGCUUCAGGCUGCAGCUAGUUAAUUGAUGCCCAAGCUUGACUAGUUCUGACUUCCACAUUUUGCACAGGAUUUUCAAAAAUCGUUCAAUAGAGAGUAUCAUUGCACAAAUGUCACUAGAAGCGGUUGCUGUCAAUAGCCACCUGCGGUGAGACCCACAGACUGCUCUUACAAGACAAUAGUGUCUGAUUACUGCGGGGACGUUACAUGGAAGCAAUUACUUUUUUCAUAGACUUUUAUUUUUUGCAAGAUAUUUUCUUCUCUGCUUGUCAAUUUCCAAAGUAACAAGUUCCCAAUCAAAAAUUGCAUUAUAACCAAUUUGGCCUGUAUUGUACAAAUAGUGUCCCUUAAUUCAUCAUCCAUGUGUCCAAUUUGAGGCAUUAUCGCAGAAUAACCUGCAUUUUCUAAAAUACCGCUAUAAGCAAUUUCAGUGUUGCACUACCCACAAUCAUCAUCUUUGUUUUACACUAACAAUCUCGAUCGUUUAUGAAACAGAAUGACAGAUUUGGUCCCUGCUCAUCCAAAUGUUUGUUAAUUGCUUCCUGCACGAUUUAAAAACAAAUGGCCAAUGUAAUAAUGAAUGAAUUAAUCUCUUUAUUGUCAUUGCACAUGGUAUAGCGAAAUUUAAAAGUCAAUCCCACGGUGCGAUUCACAAGAGCAAUUUUAAAUAUAUAAGAAAAGGUAAAAAUAUAUACAUAUUAAAAAAAAAUUACAGAUAAAUAACAAUAGCAGCUGAGGUAGAACCAUUCAGUUAAAUGUGAGUGUUAUUUCUUAUUUUGCAUUGUUAAGUUCACGUAUGGCUAUGGGGUAGAAGCUGUCUCUGAGUCUGUUUGUGCGAGUUUUGAAAGAUCUGUACCAUCUGCCAGAGGGCAGCAGGUGGAACAGGUUGUGUCCAGGGUGGGAAGGGUCCUUUAGGAUGUUGGCUGCCCUGCCAAGGCAGCGAGAGCUGAAGAUGUCCUUCAGGGAGGGCAGUGGGCAGCCAGUGAUUUUUUGUGCGGUGUUGAUGACCCUUUGAAGGGCUCUCCUGUCCGCUGCAGAGCAGCUGGCAUACCAUGUGGUUAUACAGUGCGCCAGCACACUCUCCAUGGAGCAGCGGUAGAAGGACACCAGCAGCUUCUCCAUGUUGUUUUUCCUGAGGAUCCUCAGAAAGUAGAGUCGCUGCUGGGCCUUCUUGACUGCUGUGGUGGUGUUUGUAGUCCAGGAGAGAUCCUCCGUAAUUUGUGUGCCCAGGAAUCUGAAGUCUGAGACCCUUUCCACACAGUCCCCAUUGAUGAAUAGGGGUUUGGGGGCUGCACUGUUCUUACGGAAGUCUAUAAUAAUUUCCUUUGUUUUUGUGGUGUUUCGGAUGAGGUUGUUGUCUGAACACCACGCUGCCAGUCUUUGAUGACAAUAAUGAGGCAUGCUGAGCUGUAUUUGCCAAGUUUAUCCUCUCUUUUCUUGAGCAAGGAUAUUACACUUGCAAUCCUUGCAUCUAAGGAGAAUUAGAAUAGGGAAGGCAGCACCUCUGUAAUUUUCACCAAUAUUUCACCAGGCUGUAAACCAUUUGACAAGAUGUCCCAUUAAUUUUAAGCAUUGCUAACCUUUCUUAUACUGACCACCAUCUCAGUUACCGUAGCUUUGGGAAAGCCCUUUUCUUUGGUAAAUCCUUCCGAUAGUUCCACUCACCCUGGCCACCCUCAUUGUUUCCCUGGCAAUUGGGAUUAAAGCAUCAGAGUGAAAGCUUCAUAUAUUCAAGGAAUUGUAUCAGUUUGGUUGGAACUAAUACACGGAAAGGCAGAAAAUAUUAA
This is a long non-coding RNA of Leucoraja erinaceus (little skate), 2098 nucleotides long. RefSeq lists it as uncharacterized. The transcript has 3 exons. The record is from RefSeq and is a predicted model, not a curated record. NCBI's taxonomy places the organism in Eukaryota, Metazoa, Chordata, Chondrichthyes, Rajiformes, Rajidae.